RNAcentral lists this ribosomal RNA (1436 nucleotides) under uncultured bacterium. Its description in RNAcentral is "16S ribosomal RNA". It matches the Rfam family "Bacterial small subunit ribosomal RNA". The record is from RNAcentral.
GUUUGAUCAUGGCUCAGAACGUACGCUGGCGGCACGCCUAAUACAUGCAAGUCGAACGAAGUAGCAAUACUUAGUGGCAGACGGGUGAGUAACAUGUAGGUAUCUUCCCAUUGGUGAGGAAUAACACGAGGAAACUUGUGCUAAUACCUCAUAAGUCUUUACGGAGAAAGCUUUAUGCGCCGAUGGAUGAGCCUGCACUUGAUUAGUUUGUUGGUAGGGUAAUGGCCUACCAAGACAAUGAUCAAUAGCUGAUUUGAGAGGAUGAUCAGCCACAUUGGGACUGAGACACGGCCCAAACUCCUACGGGAGGCAGCAGUAGGGAAUCUUGCACAAUGGGGGAAACCCUGAUGCAGCGAUGCCGCGUGAGUGAAGAAGGCCUUUGGGUUGUAAAGCUCUUUCGUCGGGGAAGAAAAUGACUGUACCCGAAUAAGAAGGUCCGGCUAACUUCGUGCCAGCAGCCGCGGUAAUACGAAGGGACCUAGCGUAGUUCGGAAUUACUGGGCUUAAAGAGUUCGUAGGUGGUUAAAAAAGUUGGUGGUGAAAUCCCAGAGCUUAACUCUGGAACUGCCAUCAAAACUUUUUAGCUAGAGUAUGAUAGAGGAAAGCAGAAUUUCUAGUGUAGAGGUGAAAUUCGUAGAUAUUAGAAAGAAUACCGAUUGCGAAGGCAGCUUUCUGGAUCAUUACUGACACUGAGGAACGAAAGCAUGGGUAGCGAAGAGGAUUAGAUACCCUCGUAGUCCAUGCCGUAAACGAUGUGUGUUAGACGUUGGAAAUUUAUUUUCUGUGUCGCAGCGAAAGCAAUAAACACACCGCCUGGGGAGUACGACCGCAAGGUUAAAACUCAAAUGAAUUGACGGGGACCCGCACAAGUAGUGGAGCAUGUGGUUUAAUUCGAAGAUACGCGCAGAACCUUACCAACACUUGACAUGUUCGUCGCGACUUUAAGAGAUUAAAGUUUUCGGUUCGGCCGGACGAAACACAGGUGCUGCAUGGCUGUCGUCAGCUCGUGUCGUGAGAUGUUGGGUUAAGUCCCGCAACGAGCGCAACCCUCACUUUUAGUUGCCAUCAUUUAGUUGGGCACUCUGAAAGAACUGCCAGUGAUAAGCUGGAGGAAGGUGGGGAUGACGUCAAGUCCUCAUGGCCCUUACGUGUUGGGCUACACACGUGCUACAAUGGCAUUUACAAUAGGAAGCAAAACGGCGACGUUAAGCAAAUCCUAAAAAAAUGCCUCAGUUCGGAUUGUACUCUGCAACUCGAGUACAUGAAGCUGGAAUUACUAGUAAUCGCGGAUCAGCGCGCCGCGGUGAAUACGUUCCCGGGUCUUGUACACACCGCCCGUCACACCAUGGGAGUUGGUUCUACCUUAAGGCAAAGUUUAAUACCUUUGACCACGGUAUAGUCAGCGACUGGGGUGAAGUCGUAACAAGGUAGCCGUA